GAUUAACGCUGGCGGCGUGCAUAACACAUGCAAGUCGAACGAUGAAGAUUAUUAGACUUCUUCGGAAUGAAAAUAAUUGGAUUAGUGGCGGACGGGUGAGUAACGCGUGAGUAACCUGCCUUACACAAGGGGAUAGCCGUUGGAAACGACGAAUAAUACCCUAUGAAACUAUCACUUCGCAUGAAGCGAUAGUCAAAGUGUUAGCGGUGUAAGAUGGACUUGCGUCUGAUUAGCUAGUUGGUGAGAAAAAAGCCCACCAAGGCAACGAUCAGUAGCCGGCUUGAGAGAGUGUACGGCCACAUUGGGACUGAGACACGGCCCAGACACCGACGGGAGGCAGCAGUGGGGAAUUAUGCACAAUGGGGGAAAGCCUGAUGCAGCGACGCCGCGUGAUUUAGAAGGCCUUCGGGUUGUAAAAAUCUUUUGUAUAGGAAGAAAAUGACAGUACUAUACGAAUAAGGUCCGGCUAAUUACGUG
RNAcentral lists this ribosomal RNA (477 nucleotides) under uncultured bacterium. RNAcentral's name for it is "partial 16S ribosomal RNA". It matches the Rfam family "Bacterial small subunit ribosomal RNA", at positions 28 to 507 of the family's 1533-position model. The record is from RNAcentral.